Molecule: ribosomal RNA, 590 nt
Filed under: Trichosporon asahii
Lineage: Eukaryota; Fungi; Basidiomycota; Tremellomycetes; Trichosporonales; Trichosporonaceae
Description: LSU rRNA
Rfam family: Eukaryotic large subunit ribosomal RNA
Source: RNAcentral
AAACUAACAAGGAUUCCCCUAGUAACGGCGAGUGAAGCGGGAAGAGCUCAAAUUUGAAAUCUGGCAGUCUUCGAUUGUCCGAGUUGUAAUCUAUAGAGGCGUUUUCCGUGCCGGACCGUGUCCAAGUCUCCUGGAAAGGAGUAUCAAAGAGGGUGAUAAUCCCGUACUUAACACGACCACCGGUGCUCUGUGAUACGUCUUCUACGAGUCGAGUUGUUUGGGAAUGCAGCUCAAAAUGGGUGGUGAAUUCCAUCUAAAGCUAAAUAUUGGCGAGAGACCGAUAGCGAACAAGUACCGUGAGGGAAAGAUGAAAAGCACUUUGGAAAGAGAGUUAAACAGUACGUGAAAUUGUUGAAAGGGAAACGAUUGAAGUCAGUCGUGUUCUUUGGAUUCAGCCAGUUCUGCUGGUCUACUUCCUUGGAACGGGUCAACAUCAGUUUUGUCCGGUGGAUAAAGGUAGUAGGAAUGUGACUUCUCCGGAAGUGUUAUAGCCUAUUAUCACAUACACUGGGUGAGACUGAGGACUGCAGCUCGCCUUUAUGGCCGGCCUUCGGGCACGUUCGAGCUUAGGAUGUUGACAUAAUGGCUGU